CAGUCGCCGCGGUAAUACGGAGGGAGCUAGCGUUGUUCGGAAUUACUGGGCGUAAAGCGCACGUAGGCGGCUUUGUAAGUUAGAGGUGAAAGCCUGGAGCUCAACUCCAGAAUUGCCUUUAAGACUGCAUCGCUUGAAUCCGGGAGAGGUGAGUGGAAUUCCGAGUGUAGAGGUGAAAUUCGUAGAUAUUCGGAAGAACACCAGUGGCGAAGGCGGCUCACUGGACCGGCAUUGACGCUGAGGUGCGAAAGCGUGGGGAGCAAACAGGAUUAGAUACCCGCGUAGUCCCUGUCUCUUAUAC
This 301-nucleotide ribosomal RNA is filed under the name uncultured bacterium. RNAcentral's name for it is "partial 16S ribosomal RNA". It matches the Rfam family "Bacterial small subunit ribosomal RNA", at positions 509 to 807 of the family's 1533-position model. The record is from RNAcentral.